GGUACAAAGGGCGGCGAGUCAGCGAUGACGAGCAAAUCCCGUAAAGCCGGUCUCAGUCCGGAUUGGAGUCUGCAACUCGGCUCCAUGAAGUUGGAAUCGCUAGUAAUCGUGGAUCAGAAUGCCACGGUGAAUACGUUCCCGGGCCUU
This 147-nucleotide ribosomal RNA is filed under the name uncultured Desulfobulbus sp. RNAcentral's name for it is "partial 16S ribosomal RNA". It matches the Rfam family "Bacterial small subunit ribosomal RNA", at positions 1236 to 1382 of the family's 1533-position model. Lineage: Bacteria; Pseudomonadati; Thermodesulfobacteriota; Desulfobulbia; Desulfobulbales; Desulfobulbaceae. The record is from RNAcentral.